GGUGGGCACUCAAUAAAUGGUCCCUAUAAAUAAAGUCACCAGAAUGUGAAAACCCUUGAGUGAGCCCCUUAGAGUAUAAGAUGCAACUUUUUUUUUUUUGCUUGUUUGUUCGUUUUUGUUUUAAACUGGGGAUUGAACCCAGGGGCGCUGAGCUACUGAGCUACAUUCCCAGCCCUUAUUUAUUUAUUUAUUUAUUUAUUUUUAAUUUUGAGACAGGGUCUUACUAAAUUGCUGAGGCUUGCUCAGCCUCCAGAGCUGCUGGGAUUAGGUAUGUGCCACCACACCCAGCUGCUACAUUCUUAUAUGUGUGUGUGUGUUUUAAAAUUAGAUUAAGAACACCUUUGCUUUCAUAAUCAGUCCAUCACAAAAAGAUGGAGAAAAGAGAUCACUCUUCCCUGCUUUGCAUGAUGGAGUGCCAGGCACUUAGAAAACAUAUCAUUCUCCCAGCUGUCUAAAAAGUAGGAUUUUUCAGGCUGGGGUUUUAGCUCAGUGGUGGAGGGCUGCCUCACAUAUGUGAGGUACUGGGUUUGAGCCUCAGCACCAAUAUAAAUAAAUGAAUAAAUAAAAGUAUUGUGUCAAUCUACAACUAAAAAAAAUUUAAAAACUAGGGAUUUUCACAACCCAUUUGCAGAGGAGGAAACUAAUAAAGAGAGAGGUAAAGUAAAUUUGCAUACAGCUGAAGUUAAGUAAAGGUGCCACAGCUAGUCAGUGGCUGGACUGCAAUCAGAGCCAACUCCUGCCUGGCUGCAAAGUUCAUGUUUCAUGAAGCUCUUCCAAUUCCAUGGACCCGGGUGCAGUUGGCUCUGAGCACUGUGCUUGCUGCCCCAUGGGUUAAUUCUUUGUUUUCCUGAAGUUUUCUCUGGUGGGUUGGCUCCAGGCACUUUCAUGAUGGUCUUUGACUUGGACCUCUCUGUCCUGGGACCUUUCUGUAUCUCCAAGUCCAUGGGCAUCAGGCAAAGGGAUCAUGCAGAUGAAAAUCAUCUGAGAAAAGACAUGAAUGAAAUUCACACCUCCCAUUGCAGACUCUGGGUCUGAACAUUCACCCCUGUUUUUCCUUGGCCCAUCAACUUGUCUCUUCAGCUGUGUUCACCACAGUCUCUGAUGUCUGGGGUGCACUUUCCGGUUGUCCAUGGGAACAACAAGAGCUGGAGGAAGCAGUAGGGCCGGGGGCUGGGAGAAUAACGAAAUGAGAGGCUUAGGGAUUGCAAAGGCCUGGGGGAGACCAAGAGCCCCAGGCCUCAGCUCAGGUGCUUUUUAUUUUAAUAACAACAACUACCAGACCAGGCACAGUGGUGCAUACCUGUAAUCCUAGAGACUCAGGAGGCUGAGGCAAGAGGAUCCCAAGUUUGAAGCCAGCCUUAGCAACUUUAGCAAAACCCAAAAUAAAAAAUGAAAAGGGCUGGGGGUGUGGCUCAGUGGUAAAGCACCCUUUGGGUUCAAUCCCCAGUACCAAAAAAAUAAAACCAUGUGCUUUGUGCCUGGCAUUGUUUGAAGUGCUGUCCUCGUUUAAUCUCUUCACAAGUAUCUUCAAUAUGCACUCCUAGAUAGGGUCCUAGGAGAUGGGCACUCUGAUUACCUCCAUUUUAUAGUCCUGGAAUUGAGGCAAAGAGAGGAUAAGUAGUUUGCCCAAGGUCACACAUCUGGAAGGAAGGUGCUGGCAUUAAAAUCCAAGUUACUUUAAUCCCAGAGUUAAUAAUACGUCUAUUGCAGGAAGGGAGGGAGGGCAGUGGACAAGGGUUUUGCAGCCUUACAGCACAAACACCAAGGCCCCGAGAGGCUGUGUGCAGGCAGGCACUGUGCAGGUGCGUGUAUUUGGAGUCGGCAGAGUUGGUUGACGUUGCAGAUCCUCCCACCUCCUGGCCACAUAACCUUGGCAAGCAACCUCAUCCAGAAGUGCUCAUUUCCUCAUCUACGGAGCAGGAAUAAUAAUUCUUUUCUCCUUGGUGUCGCUGUGAAGAUGAAGUGCAAUCAUCUUUGCCAAGCUGGCACAUAAUCAGAGCUCAUGAGGGUUCACUGUUAGUAUCAUUAUUACUGAUACUGUGCAGAUAGAUUGUAUUAACACACCAUAAUUGCUACAUAGGAACCUGGAAACUCCAAGCCCCGUCUUAGCAACACAGUGCCACUAGUCUCAAAAUAAAGCAAAAAUAAAAAUGAAAACUUCAUGUUGUCAAAGAGAAGGGACUAUGAAAACAGGUAUUAAAGGACCCCAAGAAAUUAGGGAUAUUUUCCUCAAUGCUUCCUCAUUUUUUGGUAAAUGUUUCUAAAUGGAAUAAAUAAAGCAUACAUGGAUACUCAACAAUAGUUCUUUGGAUAUGUGAAUGCAAAACACUCUAACUUGUUUUAUUGGUUUAUUCCAUGGCUUAAAAAUCAUACUUUGUGGUGUGGACAUUCUGCCCAAGAGUUCAAAUGGCAGGCUUGUAACCUGUAACACUGCAACAUUAACUCGAUAAAUGCAGAAUUUACUUUUAGGGAUCUGAGAAAAUUUGCAUUUAAGAAAUUGGCUUUGUGGGCUAGAGCUGAGGCUCAGUGAUAGAACUCUUGCCUAGCAACUGUGAGGCACUGAGUUUGAUCCUCAGUAAAUAAAUAAAAUAAAGGUUAAAAAAUGGCUUUGUAUUUUAUGACUGUUGCACCUGGAUAUAUAAAAUGGAUUUAAAAUAUUAUAUGUUUAUAAUUUUAUCAAUGCCAGGAGGAUCUUCCCCAUCAAAAAAAAGGUGUCCAUGACAUACAACUUCCUGGCUUUUUGUCACAAGUGGGUGCGUUGGCAUUUGCAUUUUGUGGCUACAACGGGAGAAAUCUCUAUAACUGGUGGUGAUUUUUGUUGUGAUUUGUGUCUACUGGAGCUUCUGGAAAGAAAGGGAGCACAUGAAAGAGAGCCAGUUUCUGGAUGGAAACCCACAUUUGGCUUUGAAAAGGCAGUUAAGCCGCUAAUGAGCCCUUGUUGGAAUCUCAAGUCUGACCCUUGGAGGCUGAUGAUUUCCUAGGCUGAUGCGCCUGUUUUUGAAUGGGUCAAUCUGGACUCUUAAGACUGUCGAGAAAGGAAGCUGUGCUUGUCAUCUGGCCCUGGACCACAGCUGUCUGGCCCUGCAGCCUGCCCAUGCUGCAGCUGAGGAAAAGCAGGGGUUGGCCUGGAACCCCGACUUCACACAUCCUCACCGCCUGGACCAGGCUCCAGCCCGACACCUGCUGCCUUCUGUAGUGUGGAGUUCAGCCCCAGCUGGAGCCAGGCUGCCUGGAAGCAGAAGCAGGCCUAGAGUCUGGAACCCCCUCCUUCGCACAGGGAGUUUGCACCCAGUUUCCUCUGGACUUGGGCCUGCACCUUUUCCUUUUCUGAUUUGCUUCAUUCCCUUCCUCUGUUAUAUGCCAUAGCCAUGUCUGUUCUCGGAGCCCUGCGGCUCUCUCCACGUGGGCCAUCAACUGGAAGGUGGUGUUGGGGACUCCACACAGUGCAUCAGGGGCACUUCUGGGGUCUUGUAGCAUUUUCUUUUUCAAUCUGGGUACUGUUUGCUGAGGGCAUUUGAGUUUGUGAUUAUUCACCUAGCUGUUGAAUUAUGACAAUGUUUUUUUUUUCCCUGUAAAUAUACUAAAUUUCAGUGAAAAUUUUCAAAUAAAUAUUACACACCAAGGG
RNAcentral lists this long non-coding RNA (3625 nucleotides) under Marmota monax (woodchuck). Lineage: Eukaryota; Metazoa; Chordata; Mammalia; Rodentia; Sciuridae. The record is from RNAcentral.